AAAUCGUACCCCAAACCGACACAGGUGGUCAGGUAGAGAAUACCAAGGCGCUUGAGAGAACUCGGGUGAAGGAACUAGGCAAAAUGGUGCCGUAACUUCGGGAGAAGGCACGCUGACAUGUAGGUGAAGCCCCUGCGGGUGGAGCUGAAGUCAGUCGAAGAUACCAGCUGGCUGCAACUGUUUAUUAAAAACACAGCACUGUGCAAACACGAAAGUGGACGUAUACGGUGUGACGCCUGCCCGGUGCCGGAAGGUUAAUUGAUGGGGUUAUCGCAAGAGAAGCUCCUGAUCGAAGCCCCGGUAAACGGCGGCCGUAACUAUAACGGUCCUAAGGUAGCGAAAUUCCUUGUCGGGUAAGUUCCGACCUGCACGAAUGGCGUAAUGAUGGCCAGGCUGUCUCCACCCGAGACUCAGUGAAAUUGAACUCGCUGUGAAGAUGCAGUGUACCCGCGGCAAGACGGAAAGACCCCGUGAACCUUUACUACAGCUUGACACUGAACAUUGAGCCUUGAUGUGUAGGAUAGGUGGGAGGCUUUGAAGCGUGGACGCCAGUCUGCGUGGAGCCAACCUUGAAAUACCACCCUUUAAUGUUUGAUGUUCUAACCUGGCGCCAUAAUCUGGCGUGGGGACAGUGUCUGGUGGGUAGUUUGACUGGGGCGGUCUCCUCCCAAAGUGUAACGGAGGAGCACGAAGGUCAGCUAAUCCUGGUCGGACAUCAGGAGGUUAGUGCAAUGGCAUAAGCUGGCUUGACUGCGAGAGUGACGGCUCGAGCAGGUGCGAAAGCAGGUCAUAGUGAUCCGGUGGUUCUGUAUGGAAGGGCCAUCGCUCAACGGAUAAAAGGUACUCCGGGGAUAACAGGCUGAUACCGCCCAAGAGUUCAUAUCGACGGCGGUGUUUGGCACCUCGAUGUCGGCUCAUCACAUCCUGGGGCUGAAGUAGGUCCCAAGGGUAUGGCUGUUCGCCAUUUAAAGUGGUACGCGAGCUGGGUUUAGAACGUCGUGAGACAGUUCGGUCCCUAUCUGCCGUGGGCGCUGGAGAAUUGAGGGGGGCUGCUCCCAGUACGAGAGGACCGGAGUGGACGCAUCACUGGUGUUCGGGUUGUCAUGCCAAUGGCACUGCCCGGUAGCUAAAUGCGGAAGAGAUAAGUGCUGAAAGCAUCUAAGCACGAAACUUGCCCCGAGAUGAGUUCUCCCUGAGACUAUAAGUCUCCUGAAGGAACGUUGAAGACGACGACGUUGAUAGGCCGGGUGUGUAAGCGCAGCGAUGCGUUGAGCUAACCGGUACUAAUGAACCGUGAGGCUUAACCUU
Molecule: ribosomal RNA, 1308 nt
Filed under: Cronobacter dublinensis
Lineage: Bacteria; Pseudomonadati; Pseudomonadota; Gammaproteobacteria; Enterobacterales; Enterobacteriaceae
Description: bacterial LSU rRNA
Rfam family: Bacterial large subunit ribosomal RNA
Source: RNAcentral